GGAAAUCAUUUCAUCUCUGCUCUGAUUUGGGGGCGGGAGUGAGAUGCCAACGUUCACCAGACCCGGGUGGCUUUGGUGUAGAUCAAAGCCCAAAGCCUUUAAUUAUUGGCCCAGAGGAAGACUAUGACCCGGGUUAUUUCAACAACGAGAGUGACAUCAUAUUCCAGGAUCUGGAGAAACUGAAGUCUCGGCCAGCUCACCUGGGGGUUUUUCUACGUUACAUCUUCUCUCAGGCGGACCCCAGUCCACUGCUUUUUUACCUGUGUGCAGAAGUUUAUCAGCAGACAAGCCCCAAGGAUUCCCGAAGCUUGGGGAAAGACAUCUGGAAUAUUUUCCUGGAGAAAAAUGCGCCUCUGAGAGUGAAGAUCCCUGAGAUGCUACAGGCUGAAAUUGACUCGCGCCUGCGGAACAGCGAGGAUGCCCGUGGUGUUCUCUGUGAAGCUCAAGAGGCAGCCAUGCCUGAGAUCCAAGAGCAGAUCCACGACUACAGAACGAAGCGCACUCUGGGGCUGGGCAGCCUGUAUGGUGAAAAUGACCUGCUGGACCUGGAUGGGGACCCUCUCCGAGAGCGCCAAGUGGCUGAGAAGCAGCUGGCUGCCCUUGGAGAUAUUUUGUCCAAGUAUGAGGAAGACAGGAGCGCCCCCAUGGACUUCGCCCUCAAUACCUACAUGAGCCAUGCUGGGAUCCGUCUUCGAGAGGCACGACCUUCCAACACAACUGAAAAGGCCCAGUCUGCUCCUGACAAGGACAAGUGGCUACCGUUCUUCCCUAAGACCAAGAAGAGCAGCAAUUCCAAGAAAGAAAAGGAUGCCUUGGAGGACAAGAAGCGAAACCCUAUCCUCAAAUACAUUGGGAAGC
This 858-nucleotide small RNA is filed under the name Pongo abelii (Sumatran orangutan). RNAcentral's name for it is "processed transcript". Lineage: Eukaryota; Metazoa; Chordata; Mammalia; Primates; Hominidae. The record is from RNAcentral.